GCCGAAGUGGUGGAAUUGGUAGACACGCAUGCUUGAGGGGCAUGUGGGAUAACUCCCGUGUCGGUUCGAGUCCGACCUUUGGCAC
This 85-nucleotide transfer RNA is filed under the name bacterium. RNAcentral's name for it is "tRNA-Leu". It matches the Rfam family "tRNA". Rfam says of the family: Transfer RNA (tRNA) molecules are approximately 80 nucleotides in length. Their secondary structure includes four short double-helical elements and three loops (D, anti-codon, and T loops). The record is from RNAcentral.